This is a non-coding RNA of Malus domestica (apple), 253 nucleotides long. Lineage: Eukaryota; Viridiplantae; Streptophyta; Magnoliopsida; Rosales; Rosaceae. The record is from RefSeq and is a predicted model, not a curated record.
UUUAGGUUUCUUGUUCCUCUCUCAAAUCUCCCCUUUCCCUAACCCUAAUAUUUUUUGUCAUCUCUCAGUUUUUUCUUUUUGCUGCUAGAAAUUCGAAUUCAACCUCAUCCCUUCUCAUUCGCAAGAGAAGCAGAAAUUUGGUGGUGGAUUAAUUGGAGAAGGAUGAGGAAGAAAGCAUUGAUGAAUGCAGAGACAAUGGCGGUGCUUUUGUGAAGAAGCACGGGGUGGUCAGAAAAAGGUGAAAUUUGUAGAG